GGAGAAGCCAGUGGCUCAGUGGUAGAGCAUCUGCUUCACAUGCAGAAGGUCCCAAGUUCAAUCUCUGGCUUCUCCA
This is a non-coding RNA of Euleptes europaea (tarantolino), 76 nucleotides long. NCBI's taxonomy places the organism in Eukaryota, Metazoa, Chordata, Lepidosauria, Squamata, Sphaerodactylidae. The record is from the annotation of a RefSeq genome assembly.